This 78-nucleotide transfer RNA is filed under the name Calothrix parasitica NIES-267. RNAcentral's name for it is "tRNA-Leu". It matches the Rfam family "tRNA". Rfam says of the family: Transfer RNA (tRNA) molecules are approximately 80 nucleotides in length. Their secondary structure includes four short double-helical elements and three loops (D, anti-codon, and T loops). The record is from RNAcentral. Lineage: Bacteria; Bacillati; Cyanobacteriota; Cyanophyceae; Nostocales; Calotrichaceae.
UACUCCUGUAGCCCAAUUGGAAGAGGCGACUGUCUCAAAAACAGUUUAUGUGUGGGUUCAACUCCCACCGGGAGUAUC